Molecule: ribosomal RNA, 615 nt
Filed under: Mycosarcoma maydis (corn smut)
Lineage: Eukaryota; Fungi; Basidiomycota; Ustilaginomycetes; Ustilaginales
Description: LSU rRNA
Rfam family: Eukaryotic large subunit ribosomal RNA
Source: RNAcentral
AAACUAACAAGGAUUCCCCUAGUAACGGCGAGUGAAGAGGGAAGAGCCCAAGAUUGAAAGCUGGCGUCUUCGGCGUCCGCAUUGUAAUCUCAAGAAGUGUUUUCCGCUUCGGACCAUGCCUAAGUCCCUUGGAAAAGGGCAUCAUAGAGGGUGAUAAUCCCGUACAUGGCAUGGAGCGCCCGUAGCUUUGUGAUACGCUUUCUAAGAGUCGAGUUGUUUGGGAAUGCAGCUCAAAAUGGGUGGUAAAUGCCAUCUAAGGCUAAAUAUUGGGGAGAGACCGAUAGCGAACAAGUACAGUGAUGGAAAGAUGAAAAGAACUUUGAAAAGAGAGUUAAACAGUACGUGAAAUUGCCAAAAGGGAAGGGUAGGAGGUCAGAGAUGCGUCUUGGGAUUCAGCCUUGCUUUUGCCUGGUGUUUUUCCCAAGCUGCAGGCCAACGUCGGUUUUGGGCACUGGAGAAGGGUAGGAGGAACGUGGCACCUCUCGGGGUGUGUUAUAGCCUCCUACUGGAUACAGCGACCGAGACCGAGGAACGCAGCGUACUCGUAAGAGCGGGCCUUUUGGCACCUUUACGCUUAGGGCGUUGGCAUAAUGGCCCUCUACCACCCGUCUUGAA